RNAcentral lists this ribosomal RNA (394 nucleotides) under Nasutitermes ephratae. Its description in RNAcentral is "partial 16S ribosomal RNA". The record is from RNAcentral. Lineage: Eukaryota; Metazoa; Arthropoda; Insecta; Blattodea; Termitidae.
CAUCUUUUCUUGUUAGUUUUUGAAGUAUGGCCUGCCCACUGACUUAGAGUUGAAGGGCCGCGGUAUUUUGACCGUGCAAAGGUAGCAUAAUCAUUAGUUCUUUAAUUGUGAUCUGGUAUGAAUGGCUUGACGAGACAUAAGCUGUCUUAGAGGUAUUGGUUUAUUGAAUUUGGUUUUUGAGUUAAAAUUCUUAAAUGUUUUUAUGGGACGAGAAGACCCUAUAGAGUUUGACAAUUUUCCUAUUUAUUCGUUGUUUGUAUUUAUUUACAUUGAGUGGGAGUGAAUUGUUUUGUUGGGGUGAUGGGAGGAAUAUUAUUUAACUCCUCUUUGUUUUUAUAUAUUUAUGUAUGUAUUUUUGAUCCAUUUAUUUUGAUUAUAAGAUUAAAUUACCUUA